This 254-nucleotide ribosomal RNA is filed under the name uncultured bacterium. RNAcentral describes it as "partial 16S ribosomal RNA". It matches the Rfam family "Bacterial small subunit ribosomal RNA", at positions 524 to 776 of the family's 1533-position model. The record is from RNAcentral.
CACGUAGGGGGCGAGCGUUGUCCGGAAUUAUUGGGCGUAAAGAGCUCGUAGGCGGUGUGUCGCGUCGGCCGUGAAAACUUGCAGCUUAACUGUGGGCGUGCGGUCGAUACGGGCAUCACUGGAGUUCGGCAGGGGAGACUGGAAUUCCUGGUGUAGCGGUGAAAUGCGCAGAUAUCAGGAGGAACACCGGUGGCGAAGGCGGGUCUCUGGGCCGAUACUGACGCUGAGGAGCGAAAGCGUGGGGAGCGAACAGG